GAUGAAGAACGCAGCGAAAUGCGAUAAGUAAUGUGAAUUGCAGAAUUCAGUGAAUCAUCGAAUCUUUGAACGCACAUUGCGCCCGCCAGUAUUCUGGCGGGCAUGCCUGUCCGAGCGUCAUUUCAACCCUCGAACCCCUCCGGGGGUACGGCGUUGGGGAUCGGCCCUUUACGGGGCCGGCCCCGAAAUACAGUGGCGGUCUCGCCGCAGCCUCUCCUGCGCAGUAGUUUGCACACUCGCAUCGGGAGCGCGGCGCGUCCACGUCCGUAAAACACCCAACUUCUGAAAUGUUGACCUCGGAUCAGGUAGGAAUACCCGCUGAACUUAAGCAUAUCAAUAAGCGGAGGA
RNAcentral lists this unclassified non-coding RNA (348 nucleotides) under soil metagenome. Its description in RNAcentral is "partial contains 5.8S ribosomal RNA, internal transcribed spacer 2, and large subunit ribosomal RNA". The stretch from base 1 to 120 matches the Rfam family "5.8S ribosomal RNA", at positions 35 to 154 of the family's 154-position model. The record is from RNAcentral.